UCCCAGCUCCUGAUCUCUCUUUGAUCCCCACUGUUGCACAGAAUGACGAACAGGUUUUGUUUUGGUGGGUAAUUGAUCAGAAGUCUCCUGCCACCCGAAUCAUCUUCUGCAAGGAUGGGGUGGAGGUGCACGGCCUUAGAGCUCAACAUCGGAAGGGCAACUACUACAUGCUCUUCCCCAUGACGAUGGGGAGCACAGGGACAUACACAUGUAGAUACCAGCACAAGAAAAACAGCUGUCCAGUGAGGAACUCUCCCCUCAGUGUUUCUAAGAACCUGAACUUCGCAGGUGCUGGUGUGAUGGCCCAGGACAUCUGCAGCUCCCCAAGGGAUGGUGACCUCCAAGCUCCGUCCCUCCAUAUGAAAACCAAUGUCACUUUGGAUGCAACACAGGAAGGAGAACAGAUUUUGUUUCAGUGCCAGUCAUGAAGUCUGCUCUCACCCGAAUUUUCUUCUGCAAGGAUGGGGUGGAUUUUCACAGCCUGAAAGCCCAACAGAAGAAGGGGAGCUACUACAUGUUCUUCACCACAAUGAGGAGGAGCACGGGGUCAUACACCUGUGGAUACCAGCACAAGGACAACAGUAGCCGAGUGAGGAACUCUGCCCUCAGUUCUCCCCAGAACCUGAAAGU
Molecule: long non-coding RNA, 630 nt
Organism: Chiroxiphia lanceolata (lance-tailed manakin)
Lineage: Eukaryota; Metazoa; Chordata; Aves; Passeriformes; Pipridae
Exons: 3
Source: RefSeq, a predicted model, not a curated record